GGGGGUUUUGCUCCAGUGAAGCCGCCAGGCUUCCACCCCUGGUGGUGCCUCCCCCCGGCCAAUUCCUUUUAGUUUCAGCCUUGGCGGCCGUUACUCCCCAGGCGGCGGGCUUAACGGCUUCCCUGCGCCACUGGGCGGGCUCUAAGCCCGCCCAAACAGCUAGCCCGCAUCGUUUACAGCCGGGACUACCCGGGUAUCUAAUCCGGUUCGCUCCCCCGGCUUUCGCCCCUCACCGUCGGGCGCGUUCCAGCCGGCCGCCUUCGCCACUGGUGGUCCUCCCGGGAUUAACGGAUUUCGCCCCUACCCCGGGAGUACCGCCGGCCUCUCCCGCCCCCUAGCCCGGCAGUAUCCCCCCCGUCCUCGGGUUGGGCCCGAGGCUUUAAGGAGGGACUUGCCGGGCCGGCUACGGGCGCUUUAGGCCCAAUAACCGUCCCGACCACUCGCGGGGCUGGUAUUACCGCGGCGGCUGACACCAGACUUGCCCCCCGCUUAUUCCCCCGCCUUUUUACAGCGGGGAAAAGCCCCUCUUCGGGGCACUCGGGGUGACCCCGUCACGGUUUCCCGCAUUGCGGAGUUUUCGCGCCUGGUGCGCCCCGUAGGGCCUGGGCCCUUGUCUCAGGGCCCAUCUGGGGGCUCCCGCUCUCACGGCCCCUACCCGUUAUAGGCUUGGCGGGCCGUUACCCCGCCAACAACCUGAUGGGCCGUGGCCCCAUCCUCGGGCGGUUCCACGGACAUCCCCGUAGAACCCUUUUAAGGUGGGGGCCCCUUCCAGGAGUCCCCACCUAUCGGGGAUUAGCCCCAGUUUCCCGGGACUAUCCCCGUCCCGAGGGUAGGUUAGCCACGUGUUACUCAGCCGUCCGCCACGCCCCGGUAUCCGGGGCGUACGACUCCCAUGGGCUUAGCCUCACCCCGAUAGCGGGUCGAGUC
RNAcentral lists this ribosomal RNA (927 nucleotides) under uncultured archaeon. Its description in RNAcentral is "partial 16S ribosomal RNA". The record is from RNAcentral.